CAGUCGCCGCGGUAAUACAGAGGGUGCGAGCGUUAAUCGGAUUUACUGGGCGUAAAGCGUGCGUAGGCGGCGUCUUAAGUCGGAUGUGAAAUCCCUGAGCUUAACUUAGGAAUUGCAUUCGAUACUGGGAAGCUAGAGUAUGGGAGAGGAUGGUAGAAUUCCAGGUGUAGCGGUGAAAUGCGUAGAGAUCUGGAGGAAUACCGAUGGCGAAGGCAGCCAUCUGGCCUAAUACUGACGCUGAGGUACGAAAGCAUGGGGAGCAAACAGGAUUAGAUACCCGGGUAGUCCCUGUCUCUUAUAC
This 301-nucleotide ribosomal RNA is filed under the name uncultured bacterium. RNAcentral's name for it is "partial 16S ribosomal RNA". It matches the Rfam family "Bacterial small subunit ribosomal RNA", at positions 509 to 807 of the family's 1533-position model. The record is from RNAcentral.